UACGAAGGGGGCUAGCGUUGUUCGGAAUUACUGGGCGUAAAGCGCGCGCAGGCGGCUAUCCAAGUCAGUGGUGAAAGCCCGGAGCUCAACUCCGGAACUGCCAUUGAAACUGUUUAGCUUGAGGACGAGAGAGGUGAGUGGAAUUCCCAGUGUAGAGGUGAAAUGCGUAGAGAUCCGGAGGAACACCAGUGGCGAAGGCGACACGCUGGGCCGUACCUGACACUGAUACGCGACAGCAUGGGGAGCGAACGGG
Molecule: ribosomal RNA, 253 nt
Filed under: uncultured bacterium
Lineage: Bacteria
Description: partial 16S ribosomal RNA
Rfam family: Bacterial small subunit ribosomal RNA
Source: RNAcentral